UGGGGAAUAUUGCACAAUGGGCGCAAGCCUGAUGCAGCCAUGCCGCGUGUGUGAAGAAGGCCUUCGGGUUGUAAAGCACUUUCAGCGAGGAGGAAGGUGGUGGACUUAAUACGUUCAUCAAUUGACGUUACUCGCAGAAGAAGCACCGGCUAACUCCGUGCCAGCAGCCGCGGUAAUACGGAGGGUGCAAGCGUUAAUCGGAAUUACUGGGCGUAAAGCGCACGCAGGCGGUUUGUUAAGUCAGAUGUGAAAUCCCCGGGCUCAACCUGGGAACUGCAUUUGAAACUGGCAAGCUAGAGUCUCGUAGAGGGGGGUAGAAUUCCAGGUGUAGCGGUGAAAUGCGUAGAGAUCUGGAGGAAUACCGGUGGCGAAGGCGGCCCCCUGGACGAAGACUGACGCUCAGGUGCG
This 408-nucleotide ribosomal RNA is filed under the name uncultured bacterium. RNAcentral describes it as "partial 16S ribosomal RNA". It matches the Rfam family "Bacterial small subunit ribosomal RNA", at positions 355 to 755 of the family's 1533-position model. The record is from RNAcentral.